UCCAGCCCUGGUUAUCAAGAAAAUCCCCAUCUCAUUGGACAUCAAGUCUCAAAACAUCUCACAAGUAAUCAACUUAUACACGGUAGUAGAUAUAAAACGCCACAUCAGAACCUAUCAUGCAUUUUACUUGUCCAAGAGAGAAAGUAAAUAGGAACACCCACUGGGUGCGUCUAUCGUCCAGGGUUCAUUGACUGCCAGCUCCCCUCAUGAAUCCAAUGUCCGCCUAGGAGUCCAUGUGAAAGCUUUCAGGACCUCGACGAAAACCUUAAUAAGUGCUUUACGAUCUUUCACAACACCUCAAAUAUUUACCAAAAUGCCCCGGCCAUGGUACUUUAAAAUAAAAUAAAUAAAUAAACUCAAAAAGAGGAAAAUAAAAUAACACAUUUAAUUACUAAAUGCUAUCAAUGAAAAUAAAGUCUCAAUUUGUUCGACAUAAAUGAUCUCGUUUGAAAAUUCAAAUCCACGUUGCCACAUAUCCCGAAUCAGCUCCACUCUGCUUCUGCAACAACUUUCUCCACCCUGAUGGGUGGUUUGGGGUCAGUCUUUUGUCCUCAUAUCAUAAAAAGAAUUCCACCUAAGUAUUAUAAUACAAGUCAUGUAAUUUCAUGGCAAUAUACUUUUAAACAAACACAUUGCAUUAGGCAUGCUUAACAUAACAAGAGAUCAUAACAAAUAAUCAUCUUCGACGAUUAAUACUUAAAUCAAUCAUAUUAUGUGCAUUAUGGAAUCGUGAAUGUCGUGGUUCUUGUAACUUGUUAUAUCCUAAUCAUUGUGUUUGUGGAAGUCAAUUCCAUGACAUUAAUUCUUGUACUUUUUCUUAACUUUAUGUAAGGUAUCUUAAUUCUUAUGGGGCGUCCCCCAACUCAACUAACUAGCCCUACCGCCCAAAUCGUGAAAAUUGUGGAUGUCUGGGAGAACGUAUCUAUCAGACAACAUCUCGGGAAAAAUCGUGGAUGUUUGGGAGAACGUAUUCGUUAGACAACAUAUCGUGCGGGCAAUACUGCCCCGAAUCAUGUGGGUAAUAGUUUAGAUAGUGAGUUCAUGCUUUUUAUCCACCUAUUAUUCUUCUAGGUGUUGGUGUUCAUGUUUACUCCUUACUCAUCAUCCAUCCCUGUCAUAAUUCUAACUUUAAUGGGCGAACGUGAUCGUUAGUUUAACCUUGUCAUAACUAAAUGGCGUAUAAUCUUGUAACAUAAAGUAACUACUAGUCAUGUAAUUCAAUUUAGAAUUAAAUUACAAUAGAAAACAUAACAUGUAACCUAACUACAUCAACGUAAAGAAUUUAUCCCCUUACACUAAUCCACCUUUUAAAUCAAACAGUGAGAGUCCAACAUGAGGAAUCAAGAGUUAAUCCGAGAAAUUUGAACGUCUUUAUUAACCUAGAGACGAUGAAAAUCGAUGAAACUAAAUUCCAUUGAGAAGUGGAACGAGCUUAGGGCAAUGGCUUGGCAACUUGGGAAACCCACUUCAUAAUCGAUUAUGAAAUCAGAACAAAAUAUUCAAUUUANNNNNNNNNNNNNNNNNNNNNNNNNNNNNNNNNNNNNNNNNNNNNNNNNNNNNNNNNNNNNNNNNNNNNNNNNNNNNNNNNNNNNNNNNNUUUUAGCCAUUAAUCCAUCCAUUAAUUUACAAUGCAAUUACUUCUCUAAAAUCAAUUCUGACAAUUUAAUUUUAAUUAAACGAAUUAUAUUAGUUAUCCACAAGUUCUAUUUAUAAUAUAAUUUAUCUAAUUAUUCCUAACAAAUUUUAUUUUUUAUAAUCCAAUUUAUACCAACAUCAAACUAUCUAGAAUCCAUUUUAAAACAAAAUUAAUAAUUUAACUGAAAUCAUAAUCAUAUGUGGAAUUAUAUAAUCUAUAAGAGGUUAAAUUAUUAUCAUCCUAAGAAUUUAUACACAAAUUAAUUAUAUUAAGUCAAAAUUACAAUUCAUUAAUCUAUAAUUAUUAUAAUUCAAAAUGUCGAUAGGGUAUAUUCUAUCACAAACAGAAAGUGCAGACCCCGGUAGUGACCACAAAUUAAUUUAUGACUGGUCUAUCAAAUUCUAUAAGUUCUAUUUACGUAACGUAAUAACUAAAGAGCAUAUGUAUUGAUAUGAAAAUACUGGAGUCCAGUAACCAAAACAUGAUCACUGAAACUCCAGGGACUGUCACAACAAUCCUCCAAAUCAUUUUCUUCCCCUGAACAUCGAAUUCACCCAGAAAACUAAGACAUCGCAGCGAACUCCAUCGAAGACUAAUCAUCGACGAACUCCGACUUAAACGAAAUCAUAAAAAUAUUAAGAAGGCUGUCUGACCUUAGUUCGAAUCCAUCCCGAUGAUUUAGGGAUUAUGGGUCCUUUUUAAGGCGUUGUAUCGAGGAGGGGGUUGACGUCGCCGGAUUUGAUCCUCUAUGGCACAUCAAUACAAUCCACUGGUGGCUAUUGUUUCGUUUCCUUAUCUUCGUUGAAGUUUGUGGAGACUUCGAAUCCUCCUUACUCGCUGGUUGGCAUCUUAUGUCCGCCGUUGUCGUCGAUUACGGAGAGGGAAGGAGUGCUUGCGGUUCAAAUCGAAUUAAGAGUGUUUGCAAGGAGAUGAUCGAGUUGAUUGGAUUUAAUCGAUGAUCCCACGCGUUUUUUCGGUUAAUUACCAAGUUGAUUGGGUUGGAGAAAGGAAAGAAGGAGUCGCCGGAUCGGCGACGGGAAAGGAAAGCCGAUCUCCAUGAUUUGAAGAAGGAAAAGAUGGCAUCAUCUCUGACGUCAUCAUAAGCAUGAUGUAAAUAAAAAUAAAAACAAGACUAAUGCUGGGGUACGAACUUCGGAAAUCCUGCUCAUGGGUUGAAUUCUUAACCAAUUCGAAAAGCCUGGCCAUUGAUAUGACUCAAGGCCUCUUGUUGUCAUUACAUUGUAAUUGAG
Molecule: long non-coding RNA, 2886 nt
Filed under: Linum usitatissimum (flax)
Lineage: Eukaryota; Viridiplantae; Streptophyta; Magnoliopsida; Malpighiales; Linaceae
Description: long non-coding RNA (LUSI_LNC005149)
Source: RNAcentral